RNAcentral lists this long non-coding RNA (5560 nucleotides) under Gallus gallus (chicken). RNAcentral's name for it is "lncRNA (ENSGALG00010001095.1)". The record is from RNAcentral. Lineage: Eukaryota; Metazoa; Chordata; Aves; Galliformes; Phasianidae.
AUCACAGACAAAAUACAGUAGAAUUGAGAAAGAGUUCAAGAAAGGGUGGACAGCAUUUGUAGCAACUCUGUGAGAGAUAUCUGAAUAUUCAAGGACUUCUCAAGCUGGCAAACAAGCUGGAAGUGCUACAGAAGUCUGCAAAACCAGUAUACUUCCAUGCAUGAGCUUUUGUUGGUAACAUAAGCUUGCUGUGCAGAAGUGAUUUGCCAAUAGCAUUUCUGGAAAGGAAAGGAAAUGAAACUGUUGAAGAACGACAAGUUUGACUGUGCCAGGUCAGCAUGUGUGUUUAUGGCUGUGAAAGUUGGCAGAGUUAACGAAAUCAAAUAAUGAAACAAAAAAAAUGAAUGAGAUUAUUGUCAUGGUAUCGGGAUGCUUAUAUGCUUUAUUUACUUGGAAAAAAAUAAAUAAAUAAAAGGAGAUUCAAAAGGGAAUGUAUUGUCUUCAGUUGGGAUGGAUUAACUUUUCUUCAUAGUAGCCCAUAUGGAGCUAAAUUUUGGAUUUGUAAUGAAAAUAGUGUAUAUGGCAUACUAAUUUUCUUACUAUUGUCAAGCAGUGCUUCAAAAGCCAAGGUAAUUUCUCCUUAUGCUACUCUGCUACUGAAUAGGUUGGGGUGCACAAGAAUUUGGAAGGAAACAUAGCCAGAGCAGAUAAUUGAAAUUGGUCAAAGGGUUAUGGAAUCAUAAAAUAUUUUGAGUUGAAAGGGGACUUUAAAGGUCAUCUAGUCCAACUCCCCUGCAAAGAACAGAGACAUCUUCAGGAAGAUCGUAAUGGUCAAAGCCCUGCCCAGACUGGCCUUGAAUGUUUCCAGGGAAAAGCAUAUUCCACAUGAUAUGCUCAGGAACAGAACUUUGAGGAGUUUCUCAAAGACAGUCAUCACUCAGUGACUGGCUGCCACUGGUCUGCUGCUGCUGAGUGAUUACUUUUGUAUCAUUUGCUUUUUGUUGUUGUUCUGUACUUUUUCUUUUCUUUGUUUUCUUCUUUUUUUCUUUUCCCUCACUUUCCUUGUUAAACUGUUUUUUUGUUUGUUUGUUUGUUUGUUUUUGUCAUGGUUUUAUGAUUUUUGGUUAUCGGUAUUCCACAUCAUAACAUCAUGCAGUGUACUGGGAGUUAAAGAGCAAAUGCUCUAGUUCUGGGUACUUGUCCGGAAGAGAAGAACUACAUACCCCAGAAGACUGUUCGAAUACUGUUAUCAUUCCUGCUCAGGGGAACAGAUAUAAGGCCUGUAAGUCACCUGACCUGAGUCAUUUUUUUCUUCUCAUCUCGUCGUGCUCGCUUUUGGAUCCUCUCGCUGCUGCUCCUGACUGCACUCAAGGCUUCAGUAUUAGUGUAAGGCCUUUAGCUCUUGGACAAUUCUUCUCUCAAUUAUAUUUUAUUUUAUUAACAAUUAUAUUGAAUUAUGUUGUAUUAUAGUGUGUUAUUGUGCAUUCCGAUACUAUAUUUAGUAAAUUAGUUUGUUUCUCCUCAGAUUGUUGCCACUGUUUUUUUUAAUUAUUUUUUUUUUUAGGGUUCUCUCCCUUUUCUAGAGGUGCGGAUUUUACAAAAAAUCCCUACGUCCUACUAGUCAUGGAACCGGGCUGGACCAGCCUGUAAACCAUCAACAGUUUUGUUUUGUUUUCCUUGACUAAGGAUUUUUUCCCAUACUUGCCCUUCCAAUUCCCUUCUUCAUCCUGCCAAGGUGAUACUCAAACAACUGCAUAGGGUCUUAUUUAUCAGCUGUAUCAACAAACUGCAGAGGGUAGCAGCCUCUGAAUCUAUAGACAUGAGGCCAACGAUAAAUUAUAUCUCCAGAACUUUAUACUCAAGGAUCACUGAUAAUGAAUUCCUCAAAUUCAUAAAGUAUCAUGAUUAUAGUACCUUCAUAGGCAUUUACGAUUCUUUAUACAGCCUUUAUAUAAAGGAUUUUAAGACAUAUCCUUGUGUUCUUGUUGUUAAGGUUUUUUUGUUUUGUUUUGUUUUGUUUUGUUUCCAAAGAAGUUAGCUACAAUAAGCUAGUGUACACACCAUAUUUUUUUUCAGUCACCAGUAAUGCCUUUGUGCUUUCUUAUUACACUGCAUGGUACUUUAAUGAUUGAAUAAGUGUCGUCCACUAGAUAUAGCUAAAAUGUCAGCAACACUGGUAAAGGUAAGGGAAAAGAAAGAACAUGCCAUACAAAGCCAUAUGCUGCAAUGCUUUGUAAAGACACUGCUGUCAGUCAGUACCCAUCAAUGUUGCUAGUGUAAAGCAUAACGUUCAUUAUGUAUUUAAUUAAUGUGAACUGAGAUAAAGUUCAGUUAUAUAGUGCAUUAAUCCACAUGAAAUACACAGAAAUUCAUGGAAUUUGUUGUGAGAAAGGGGAGAUCAUCUUGGUUGAGAUUACACGGCAUGGCGUGGUGUCCAGGGGAUCAGAUCCAGUUAGCAUGGGUUUAUGAAAGGCAGGUCGUGCUUGACAAACCUCAUCUCCUCCUACGGCUGGGUGACCAGACUGAUAGAUACGACCAGGCUGUCGAUGUAGUCUACCUAGACUUCAGCAAAUCCUUUGACAUGGUCUCUCACAGUAUUCUCCUGGGAAAACUGCCUGCCCAUGGCCUGGACAGAUGUACCCUUAUUUGGGUAACGAACUGACUAGAGGGCUGUGCCCAACAGGUAGUAGUUAAUGAAGUUAAGUCCAGUUGCUGACCAGUCACAAGUGCUGUCCUCCAGGGGUCGGUACUGGGGCCCAUCUUGUUUAAUAUCGUUAUCGAUGAUCUAGAUGAGGGGAUUGAGUGUACCCUCAGUAAGUUUGCAGAUGACACCAAGUUGGGAGGCAGCGUCAAUCUGCCUGGAGGUAGUGAGGCCCUUCAGAGGGAUGUGGAUAGGAUGAAUUACUGGGCUGAAGUGAAUAGGAUGAGGCUCAACAUGGCCAAGUGCCAAGUCCUGUACUUUGACCACAAUAACUCCAUGCAGUGCCAUAGGCUUGCGGCUUAGUGGCUGGAUGACUGUGAAGAGGAAAGGGACCUGGAGGUGUUGGUUGAUGCUUGACUGAACAUGAGCCGACAGCGAGCCCAGGUGACCAGGAGGGCCAAUGCCAUCCUGGCCUGCAUUAGAAAUAGUGUGGCCAGCAGGAGCAGGGAAGUAAUCAUCCCCCUGUACUCAGCACUGGUGAGGCCACACCUUGAGUACUGUGUUCAGUUUUGGGCCCCUAACUACAGGAAAGACAUGGAGGCCCUGGAACAUGUCCAGAGAAGGGCAAUGAAACUGGUGAAGGGUCUGGAGCAUAGGUCUUAUGAGGAGCAGCUGAGGGAGCUGGGAUUGUUUAGGCUGGAGGAGGCUCAGAGGAGACCUCAUUGCACUCUACAACUUCCUGAAGGGAGGUUGUGAUGAGGAAGGGUUUGGCCUCUUCUCCCAGGCAACAAACAGGACCCAAGGAAAUGGCCAGAAGUUGUACCAGAGGAAGCUUAGGUUAGACAUAAGGAAAACUUUUUCUCUCAGAGAGUAGUCAGGCACUGGAAUGGCCUGCCCAAGGAGGUAGUGGAGUCGCCAUCCCUGGUAGUUUUCAAGAGGUGUCUGGAUGAGGAGCUAUGAGAUAUGGUUUAGUGGCUUGUGGUAGCAAGAGUAAUGGAAGGACGGUUGGACUAGAUGAUCUUAUAGGUCCUUUCCAAACUUGUGAUUCUAUGAUUCUAAGAUGGAGAAAUGAAUGAAUGGGAAACAGUCCUUGUGCCUAGUAACUGACAGACUAACAGAUCAAAUCACAUAUGUGUUAAGCAUCCGAGCAAAAUAUUGUGAUGUCUAAGAAAAAAUAAUUGUAAAAUAUCUACAAAUGACUCAGUUGCAAUUUUUCUUCCUGUUAUAUGGUGAUUGGAAUAUGACUGGAGACAGGGACAACAAACAUCAAGGAAUAAAUCAGAUCAGCAUUUGCUGUUGUGCAGUUUUUAGAGAAACAAGACUUAAUGUAAUUGCUUUCAAAUGCAUAUGAUGUUUAAUUAAAAAGAUCACAAUAAGUGGUACAAAAGUGCAUUUAUUAGCCUAUUUAGGUAACUUGCUUAGAAUCAUAAUAUCAUGGAAUGGCUUAGUUUGGAAGGCAUUGUAAACAUAAUCUAGUUCAAACUCUCCUACUAUGGGCAGGGUUCUGAUCCACUAGAUCAUACUGCCCACGGCCCCUUCCAACCUGGUCUUGAACACCUCUAGGGAUAGAGCAUUCUUAACUUCUCUCAGGGUAGCCUACUGCAAUGCCUCAAAACCCUCUGGAUAAAAAAAUUUCUUCCCAACAUUUAAAUCUCCCCUCUUUUAUCUUCAAACCGUUUCCCCUUGGCCCAUCACUAGAUAUCUGUGUAAGAGACGGAAUUCCCUCCUCUUUAUAAGCUCCCUUCAAGUACUAGAAGGCUGCAGUUAGGUGUCCACUGAGUCUACUCUUCCCCAAGCUAAACAAGCCCAAUUCCAUCAACCUUUCUUCCUAGGAGAGGCUCUUCAGCCCUCUGAUCAUCUUUGUGGGCCUCCUAUGAACCCUCUCCAACAGCGCUGCAUCUUUCUUGUGCUGGAGGCUCCAGAUCUGGACACAGUAUUCCAGAUGGGGCCUCACAAGGGCUGAGUAGAGGGGGACCAUCAUCCCCUCUCCCUGCUGACCACACCUCUUUUGAUGCAGCCAAGAAUAGAGUUGGCCUUUUGGAUUGCAAGAGAACACUGUCGGCUCAUGUCAAUAUUUUUGUACACCAGAACCCUCAAGUCCUUCUCCACAGGACUGUUCUCAAUCAAUUAUUUCUUCUCCCAGUUGGUACUCAUUUCUAGGUUACUCCAACAAAAUUAUGAAUCUGAUUUUAUCUUCUGUUCCUUUGUAUGCCUUUAUUAUACUUGACUGACUCUUUGAAAAUGAAUGCAUAUGAAAAGAAUAUCUAAAAGUUCAUUUUUAACUACAAGAAAUUAACAAAUUCUUUUUCCUGCCUUCAGCAUAUGCCUGUGUUUUAAUUUUUACGUAUGUAUGAAUAUAUGUGUCUAUAUUGUAUACCCAUUAAUAAAAUAGUAUCAGCAUUGCACCAAAUCCACUUUUUUUUAACAAAGAUUAUCUCAAAAAUCACCUUUUGGAUUGAAGCUUUCUGAAAAUAAUUGGCUCUUAAAUUUUGAAAUAUGAAGCAUAUUUAGACAAAUACAAUGUUUAUCAGAAAUAUUUAUGUAGGCCUAUUUCCCUCAUUUUGUAGCAGCACUGCUUUAAAAUUAUUGAUGAACUAGUCAUAGGAAUCACUCUUUUAAGUUCUCUACCUCUUACAUGGGAAAAUGUUGCUAACCUUUUUGCUAGGAGGCUGCUUGUGGAUCUUAUUUCAAAACUUUUUACCCACCUUGUUGGCAGCAGCUCAGGUCCGCUGUUUGACAGUAAUGCCAACCUCUACAUCUCCAUGUUUGAUGCAACUAUUUCCACAUUCAGUGAUGGAAGUUAGACAGUCCUACUGUAGCUUAUACAGUUGCAGAGUGCUCCAUGGAUCAUAUGAAGGUCAAGAAGAAGUUUUAUAUACACAAAUGAAUACAUAUAUAUAAGUAUAUUGAUACAGUUAUAUGUAUGUACAUGUAUUUAUAUGCAAAUAUGUGUUUAUAUGUGUAUUUGUAUAUAUAAAC